AAAAAGCAACAAAGAGUUAGAGAGUAAUCCACAUAUUGUAGUCUCUGAGAUAAAUUGUGAGUGAGAGUAAUAUCGUAGUACGAUGUUAAAAAAAGAAUGUUAAAUUUUAUAAAGUUGUAGUGGUUUUUUGACACUACUAAGUUGUAAUAUUGUAACAGUAAUAUUGCUCCGCUAGGAUAUUAUAUUUUAUCUCGUUAAAAUAUUUGGUGUUAUUGUUAAUCUAUUGUAUUUUAUUAUUUAUCGUGAAUAUUAUUUUUGGACGGAAUUAUUA
This 271-nucleotide long non-coding RNA is filed under the name Nicotiana benthamiana. RNAcentral's name for it is "long non-coding RNA (NBEN_LNC029390)". The record is from RNAcentral. Lineage: Eukaryota; Viridiplantae; Streptophyta; Magnoliopsida; Solanales; Solanaceae.